Capsicum annuum is the source of this 251-nucleotide long non-coding RNA. RefSeq lists it as uncharacterized. The transcript is spliced from 3 exons. NCBI's taxonomy places the organism in Eukaryota, Viridiplantae, Streptophyta, Magnoliopsida, Solanales, Solanaceae. The record is from RefSeq and is a predicted model, not a curated record.
UUCUGAUAGUCACAGAACCAAGUUGAAUUGUUCAGUAGGAUCUUCUCUAGCUGCUUAGAGGAACAACUUCAAAACAAGUCCCCUAAGUUUAAAUCAGAUUCGUUAAGAGAGAUGAGCUGCUCAGACGACAACUCCGCAUGCAUACCCCUUCAAAAUAUAUCUAAUCUUAUGAACCGCAAGGACAAGUGUUGUAGAGCUUGCAUGAAGAAGGGAAAAUGCAACCACUGGACUCUAGUUGUGAUGCAAGAAAA